RNAcentral lists this ribosomal RNA (1878 nucleotides) under Triticum aestivum (bread wheat). RNAcentral describes it as "partial small subunit ribosomal RNA". Lineage: Eukaryota; Viridiplantae; Streptophyta; Magnoliopsida; Poales; Poaceae. The record is from RNAcentral.
AUGCUACAAGGGGAGCGGGCGCGUCCCGAUCGGACGGCUGCGAACGCAACCGCGGCCGAUAUAUACCUCGCCCCGCGCCACACUCCAAUGGCGUCCGCCGCAUCCACCUCCGCCUCCGCCGCCGUCGCCGUCGCCUCCCGCCUGCUCCUGCGCCGCGCGCCGCACCUGCUGCGCCGCCUCCCCCGCGCGCGCCCCGCGGCCUCGUCGUCUCAUCCGUCGUCGUCGUCGUUCGGCGCCGCCGCCGCUCUCCGACGCCCGCUCGGGCACCGCGCCAGGAUGGGCCACACCUCCGCCGCGGCGUCAGCUGUCCCCGCGCUCGGGCUCACCAAGGCCAACGCCGUCGAGCUCCCCCAGGUUGCUUUCACCGGCAAGGACAUUGAAUUCUCUGACUGGAAGGGCGACAUCCUCGCCGUCGCGGUCACGGAGAAGGAUCUGUACAAAGGCUCAGACUCCAAAUUUGAGAAUGCUGUGCUGAAGAAGCUCGACGCCCAGCUCAGUGGUCUCCUGUCUGAGGCCUCAGCCGAGGAGGAUUUCACCGGGAAGGCCGGGCAGUCGGUGGUUCUCCGCCUCUCUGGGCAGGGCUUCAAGAGGGUGGCUCUGGUUGGCCUCGGCCAGAGUGCCCCAUCCACCGCCGCGGCUUGCCGGGGUAUCGGUGAGUCCGUUGCAUCGGUUGCCAAGUCUGCUCAGGCUAGCAGCGUUGCUAUUGUCCUUGCAUCCCCAGCUGGGAUCCAGGAAGGGUUCAAGCUCAACGCUGCCGCGGCAAUCGCUUCUGGAACCGUGCUUGGCUUGCAUGAGGACAGCAGAUUCAAGGCUGAGUCGAAGAAGGUGCAUCUUAAACAAGUAGAUCUUAUUGGACUGGGUUCUGGUUCAGAGCUGGACCAGAAACUUAAGUAUGUGAAUGAUCUUUCCUCGGGCGUGAUUUUCGGGAAAGAGCUUGUCAACGCACCUGCAAAUGUCCUUACCCCUGCUGUACUUGCGGAGGAGGCAUCAAAGAUUGCUUCUGAAUACAGUGAUGUAUUCACUGCCACAAUAUUAGAUGUAGAGAAAUGCCAGGAGCUAAAGAUGGGCUCCUACUUGGGAGUUGCUGCAGCUUCUGCAAAUCCUCCUCACUUCAUCCACUUGUGCUACAAACCCGUUGGCGGCAAUGUCAAGAGAAAGCUGGCUAUUGUUGGGAAGGGUCUAACUUUUGACAGUGGAGGCUACAACAUUAAGACUGGACCAGGCUGCAGUAUUGAACUGAUGAAGUUUGACAUGGGAGGUUCAGCAGCAGUAUUUGGUGCAGCAAAAGCUUUGGCCCAAAUCAAGCCUCCUGGAGUAGAGGUUCACUUUAUUGUUGCUGCCUGUGAGAAUAUGAUUAGUGGCACAGGAAUGAGACCUGGUGACAUUUUGACUGCCUCUAACGGGAAGACAAUUGAGGUAAAUAACACUGACGCUGAAGGGAGGCUUACGCUUGCUGAUGCUUUGGUCUAUGCUUGUAAUCAAGGUGUUGACAAGAUUAUUGAUCUGGCAACACUAACUGGUGCCUGUGUUGUUGCACUUGGGCCUAGCAUUGCUGGAAUCUUCACACCAAGUGAUGAACUAGCCCAGGAAGUCACCGCUGCAUCUGAGUUAUCGGGGGAGAAGUUCUGGAGAUUGCCCAUGGAGGAAAGCUACUGGGAACAGAUGAAGUCUGGUGUGGCCGACAUGGUCAACACCGGUGGCCGACAGGGCGGCUCAAUCACCGCUGCCCUGUUCCUUAAACAGUUUGUCGAUGAGAAGGUUCAGUGGAUGCACAUCGACAUGGCGGGGCCGGUGUGGAACGACAAGAAGCGUGCCGCCACAGGAUUCGGCGUGUCCACCUUGGUGGAGUGGGUCCUCAAGAACUCAUCAUCAUCCUGA